Molecule: long non-coding RNA, 1153 nt
Organism: Mastomys coucha (southern multimammate mouse)
Lineage: Eukaryota; Metazoa; Chordata; Mammalia; Rodentia; Muridae
Exons: 2
Source: RefSeq, a predicted model, not a curated record
CACGCCGCCGCGGCUAUCCUGCCACCCAGAGAUGCUGAGGGAAUGGAGCAGGACAGGGCCUCCUGCAGAUGCUCACCUCAAGUAGUUGAGAGGGAAAAUCAUACAAAAAGGUCCUGUUCUAGAAAAUCAGAACAACAGACACAGUAAAGCACCCAACAGGCACUUAACAUCCAAUCCAGAAGAAGCAAUGAGAUCCAAGAUUACCACUUGGAGGGUUCUGAUUGAAGAGAGAAGAUACUAAUAAUGGAAAAGGUUUUGUGUUAUUUUUCAUUAAAGAAGAGAGACACUUGAAAUGUGUAAAGCAAAGAGAACCAUGGAGAUGAAAAACUGGAAACAUUAGAGAAAGAAAAAUUAACCCCUGGUAGAUACGAGAAUUAAGAUAGUGUUACAAUCAAAGGUUGCAAACUGAAUAUCAGUUUACAUUCAGGUUUGUUUUACAAACUCAGCCUUAUUAAACUCACUGGAGGUUUCAUAUUCUCAAGACUAUCCUCCUCCCAACACAAUAAGAAGGCAAGAUUUUCUCUUGCUUGUAACAUAUAAUUAUUGUGAGCAGUGUUUUGGUUUUCAUUUGCAUUCUUUUUUUUCUCUCCCACCUACUACUUGGAAUCAAGUGAAGCCAUCAGCCCAUGUCAUGUGAGAGAAAAGCACGCGUUGCACUCUGAGUGAUGGUUUUUCUGCCUCCUUCACCUCCCCUUGUAGAUCUCCAUCUCUACUUUUGGCUGCAACUCCAUAUUUGUCCCAUGCCUUCUAGUAUUUUUGCAUGGUGAGACCCACAUUUUUACUUGUUAAUUUUGCAAGUUUCAAGUAGAGCCUUCAUACAGUGAUGGGUACCCUUUCCUGCUUCUGGAACAUACAGAUAGUGCUGUCAUUUCUGCUUUAUUCCUGUCCUGACUUAAAAAUCAACAUGUUACUUUCUAGCUUUGGCUACCAUGAUUUCCAGGCAGCUCUGGAGAUGGGGGUAUUAGCAGAGACCUCUGUGUCAGGGAUCACUCAAAACAGAAGACUUCUAGGAGCUAAGAAUGAGCUUGUGCUGAGCUAAGAGUACCAUUCUAAUAUCAUAUAUUAACAUAGUUUUCUUAUACCACUCUCACUAGACAUCUGUUUUCUUCCACUGUUAAAUUUUGAAAUAAAAGUGCAUCAUUGCUAAAGCAAA